GAUGAACGCUGGCGGCGUGCUUAACACAUGCAAGUCGAACGGAAAGGCCAGUGCUUGCACUGGUACUCGAGUGGCGAACGGGUGAGUAACACGUGGGUGAUCUGCCCUGCACUUCGGGAUAAGCCUGGGAAACUGGGUCUAAUACCGGAUAGGACAAUGGUUUGGAUGCCGUUGUGGAAAGUUUUUUCGGUGUGGGAUGAGCUCGCGGCCUAUCAGCUUGUUGGUGGGGUAAUGGCCUACCAAGGCGUCGACGGGUAGCCGGCCUGAGAGGGUGUACGGCCACAUUGGGACGGAGAUACGGCCCAGACUCCUACGGGAGGCAGCAGUGGGGAAUAUUGCACAAUGGGCGCAAGCCUGAUGCAGCGACGCCGCGUGGGGGAUGACGGCCUUCGGGUUGUAAACUCCUUUCGCUAGGGACGAAGCGUAUUUGUGACGGUACCUGGAGAAGAAGCACCGGCUAACUACGUG
Molecule: ribosomal RNA, 468 nt
Filed under: uncultured bacterium
Lineage: Bacteria
Description: partial 16S ribosomal RNA
Rfam family: Bacterial small subunit ribosomal RNA
Source: RNAcentral